UUCCGGUUGAUCCCGCCGGAGGCUACUGCUAUUGGAGUUCGAUUAAGCCAUGCGAGUCUAAGGGAUCUUCGGAUCCCUGGCGUAAUGCUCAGUAACACGUGGAUAAUCUACCCUCAGGUGGGGCAUAAACCCGGGAAACUGGGGCCAAUUCCCCAUAAAUACAGAUGGCUGGAAUGCUUCUGUAUUCAAAGCUCCGGCGCCUGAGGAUGAGUCUGCGGCCUAUCAGGUUGUAGUCAGGGUCAUGACCUGACUAGCCAGCGACGGGUAUGGGGUGUGAGAGCACUUGCCCAGAGAUGGUUUCUGAGACACGAAACCAGGCCCUACGGGGCGCAGCAGGCGCGAAAACUUCGCAAUGCGGGAAACCGUGACGAGGGGAUUCCAAGUGUCUAUGCAUUGCAUAGACUGUUUUUUAGCCUAAAUAGCUAUUAGAGUAAGGGGUGGGCAAGACCGGUGCCAGCCGCCGCGGUAACACCGGCACCUCGAGUGGUAGCCACUAUUAUUGGGCCUAAAGCGUUCGUAGCCGGUUUGGUAAAUUCUUGGGUAAAUCGUACCGCUUAACGGUGCGGAUUCCGGGGACACUACCAGACUUGAGACCGGGGGAGAUCAGAGGUACUUGCGGGGGAGCGGUGAAAUGUUGUAAUCCCGCAGGGACCACCAGUGGCGAAGGCGUCUGAUCAGAACGGCUCUGACGGUGAGGAACGAAACCCUGGGGCGCAAACGGGAUUAGAUACCCCGGUAGUCCAGGGCGUAAACGCUGCUGACUUGGUGUUGGGGAUCCUACGAGGAUGUCCAGUGCUGGCGCGAAGGUAUUAAGUCAGCCGCCUGGGGAGUACGGUCGCAAGACUGAAACUUAAAGGAAUUGGCGGGGGAGCACUGCAACGUGUGGAGCGUGCGGUUUAAUUGGAGUCAACGCCGGG
RNAcentral lists this ribosomal RNA (917 nucleotides) under uncultured marine archaeon. RNAcentral describes it as "bacterial SSU rRNA". It matches the Rfam family "Archaeal small subunit ribosomal RNA", at positions 1 to 922 of the family's 1478-position model. The record is from RNAcentral.